Molecule: ribosomal RNA, 483 nt
Filed under: uncultured bacterium
Lineage: Bacteria
Description: partial 16S ribosomal RNA
Rfam family: Bacterial small subunit ribosomal RNA
Source: RNAcentral
GACGAACGCUGGCGGCGUGCUUAACACAUGCAAGUCGAACGAUGAAGUCGGAGCUUGCUCCGGUGGAUUAGUGGCGAACGGGUGAGUAACACGUGAGCAAUCUGCCCUUGACUCUGGGAUAACUGCGGGAAACUGUAGCUAAUACCGGAUACGACACCUUGGGGCAUCCCAGGGUGUGGAAAGAAUUUCGGUCAAGGAUGAGCUCGCGGCCUAUCAGCUAGUUGGUGAGGUAAUGGCUCACCAAGGCGACGACGGGUAGCCGGCCUGAGAGGGUGACCGGCCACACUGGAACUGAGACACGGUCCAGACUCCUACGGGAGGCAGCAGUGGGGAAUAUUGCACAAUGGGCGAAAGCCUGAUGCAGCAACGCCGCGUGAGGGAUGAAGGCCUUCGGGUUGUAAACCUCUUUUAGCAGGGAAGAAGCGAAAGUGACGGUACCUGCAGAAAAAGCUCCGGCUAACUACGUGCCAGCCACCGCCGUAA